This 376-nucleotide unclassified non-coding RNA is filed under the name soil metagenome. Its description in RNAcentral is "partial contains 5.8S ribosomal RNA, internal transcribed spacer 2, and large subunit ribosomal RNA". The stretch from base 1 to 120 matches the Rfam family "5.8S ribosomal RNA", at positions 35 to 154 of the family's 154-position model. The record is from RNAcentral.
GAUGAAGAACGUAGCGAAAUGCGAUAAGUAAUGCGAAUUGCAGAAUUCAGUGAGUCAUCGAAUCUUUGAACGCAUCUUGCGCUCCUUGGUAUUCUGAGGAGCAUGCCUGUUUGAGUGUCAUUAAAUUCUCAACUACACUGACUUUGAAUUGGUGUGGCUUGGAUUUGGGGGGAAAAUUGUUGUGGGCUUUUUGUAUAGUCUGCUCCCCUGAAAUUGAUUAGCGGUACCUUUGUGGAACUGUCUACAGGUGUGAUAAUUAUCUACAUCUUAGACAUCUGCUGGAAUGCUGCUUUCUAAACCUUACUUGUAUUGACAAUCUUGACCUCAAAUCAGGUAGGACUACCCGCUGAACUUAAGCAUAUCAAUAAGCGGAGGA